AUGAAAACAAUAUCGUCCAGAAGGAAAAGAGUCAGAGUUGAGAUUAGAACACUCGCUGGAAUCAGAAUCCACCAUGCCAUUAUUCCGAUUCUGUUCAAAUACAAAACCAAUGAUUCCUCUGAUCCGCUAUCCACAACGAUGAAAAUGAAUCGAAGAGUGCCUCAGACAGAUCCGCAAGUUCCGACGCGACACCACAUCCUCCGCAACUCCACCACCGAAAUCAAAUACUGA
Molecule: non-coding RNA, 231 nt
Organism: Vicia faba (fava bean)
Lineage: Eukaryota; Viridiplantae; Streptophyta; Magnoliopsida; Fabales; Fabaceae
Source: the annotation of a GenBank genome assembly